GGUUAAGCGACUAAGCGUACACGGUGGAUGCCCUGGCAGUCAGAGGCGAUGAAGGACGUGCUAAUCUGCGAUAAGCGUCGGUAAGGUGAUAUGAACCGUUAUAACCGGCGAUUUCCGAAUGGGGAAACCCAGUGUGAUUCGUCACACUAUCAUUAACUGAAUCCAUAGGUUAAUGAGGCGAACCGGGGGAACUGAAACAUCUAAGUACCCCGAGGAAAAGAAAUCAACCGAGAUUCCCCCAGUAGCGGCGAGCGAACGGGGAGCAGCCCAGAGCCUGAAUCAGUGUGUGUGUUAGUGGAAGCGUCUGGAAAGGCGCGCGAUACAGGGUGACAGCCCCGUACACAAAAAUGCACAUACUGUGAGCUCGAUGAGUAGGGCGGGACACGUGGUAUCCUGUCUGAAUAUGGGGGGACCAUCCUCCAAGGCUAAAUACUCCUGACUGACCGAUAGUGAACCAGUACCGUGAGGGAAAGGCGAAAAGAACCCCGGCGAGGGGAGUGAAAAAGAACCUGAAACCGUGUACGUACAAGCAGUGGGAGCACAGAGCAAUCUGUGUGACUGCGUACCUUUUGUAUAAUGGGUCAGCGACUUAUAUUCUGUAGCAAGGUUAACCGAAUAGGGGAGCCGAAGGGAAACCGAGUCUUAACUGGGCGUUAAGUUGCAGGGUAUAGACCCGAAACCCGGUGAUCUAGCCAUGGGCAGGUUGAAGGUUGGGUAACACUAACUGGAGGACCGAACCGACUAAUGUUGAAAAAUUAGCGGAUGACUUGUGGCUGGGGGUGAAAGGCCAAUCAAACCGGGAGAUAGCUGGUUCUCCCCGAAAGCUAUUUAGGUAGCGCCUCGUGAAUUCAUCUCCGGGGGUAGAGCACUGUUUCGGCAAGGGGGUCAUCCCGACUUACCAACCCGAUGCAAACUGCGAAUACCGGAGAAUGUUAUCACGGGAGACACACGGCGGGUGCUAACGUCCGUCGUGAAGAGGGAAACAACCCAGACCGCCAGCUAAGGUCCCAAAGUCAUGGUUAAGUGGGAAACGAUGUGGGAAGGCCCAGACAGCCAGGAUGUUGGCUUAGAAGCAGCCAUCAUUUAAAGAAAGCGUAAUAGCUCACUGGUCGAGUCGGCCUGCGCGGAAGAUGUAACGGGGCUAAACCAUGCACCGAAGCUGCGGCAGCGACGCUUAUGCGUUGUUGGGUAGGGGAGCGUUCUGUAAGCCUGCGAAGGUGUGCUGUGAGGCAUGCUGGAGGUAUCAGAAGUGCGAAUGCUGACAUAAGUAACGAUAAAGCGGGUGAAAAGCCCGCUCGCCGGAAGACCAAGGGUUCCUGUCCAACGUUAAUCGGGGCAGGGUGAGUCGACCCCUAAGGCGAGGCCGAAAGGCGUAGUCGAUGGGAAACAGGUUAAUAUUCCUGUACUUGGUGUUACUGCGAAGGGGGGACGGAGAAGGCUAUGUUGGCCGGGCGACGGUUGUCCCGGUUUAAGCGUGUAGGCUGGUUUUCCAGGCAAAUCCGGAAAAUCAAGGCUGAGGCGUGAUGACGAGGCACUACGGUGCUGAAGCAACAAAUGCCCUGCUUCCAGGAAAAGCCUCUAAGCAUCAGGUAACAUCAAAUCGUACCCCAAACCGACACAGGUGGUCAGGUAGAGAAUACCAAGGCGCUUGAGAGAACUCGGGUGAAGGAACUAGGCAAAAUGGUGCCGUAACUUCGGGAGAAGGCACGCUGAUAUGUAGGUGAAGUCCCUCGCGGAUGGAGCUGAAAUCAGUCGAAGAUACCAGCUGGCUGCAACUGUUUAUUAAAAACACAGCACUGUGCAAACACGAAAGUGGACGUAUACGGUGUGACGCCUGCCCGGUGCCGGAAGGUUAAUUGAUGGGGUUAGCGCAAGCGAAGCUCUUGAUCGAAGCCCCGGUAAACGGCGGCCGUAACUAUAACGGUCCUAAGGUAGCGAAAUUCCUUGUCGGGUAAGUUCCGACCUGCACGAAUGGCGUAAUGAUGGCCAGGCUGUCUCCACCCGAGACUCAGUGAAAUUGAACUCGCUGUGAAGAUGCAGUGUACCCGCGGCAAGACGGAAAGACCCCGUGAACCUUUACUAUAGCUUGACACUGAACAUUGAGCCUUGAUGUGUAGGAUAGGUGGGAGGCUUUGAAGUGUGGACGCCAGUCUGCAUGGAGCCGACCUUGAAAUACCACCCUUUAAUGUUUGAUGUUCUAACGUUGACCCGUAAUCCGGGUUGCGGACAGUGUCUGGUGGGUAGUUUGACUGGGGCGGUCUCCUCCUAAAGAGUAACGGAGGAGCACGAAGGUUGGCUAAUCCUGGUCGGACAUCAGGAGGUUAGUGCAAUGGCAUAAGCCAGCUUGACUGCGAGCGUGACGGCGCGAGCAGGUGCGAAAGCAGGUCAUAGUGAUCCGGUGGUUCUGAAUGGAAGGGCCAUCGCUCAACGGAUAAAAGGUACUCCGGGGAUAACAGGCUGAUACCGCCCAAGAGUUCAUAUCGACGGCGGUGUUUGGCACCUCGAUGUCGGCUCAUCACAUCCUGGGGCUGAAGUAGGUCCCAAGGGUAUGGCUGUUCGCCAUUUAAAGUGGUACGCGAGCUGGGUUUAGAACGUCGUGAGACAGUUCGGUCCCUAUCUGCCGUGGGCGCUGGAGAACUGAGGGGGGCUGCUCCUAGUACGAGAGGACCGGAGUGGACGCAUCACUGGUGUUCGGGUUGUCAUGCCAAUGGCACUGCCCGGUAGCUAAAUGCGGAAGAGAUAAGUGCUGAAAGCAUCUAAGCACGAAACUUGCCCCGAGAUGAGUUCUCCCUGACUCCUUGAGAGUCCUGAAGGAACGUUGAAGACGACGACGUUGAUAGGCCGGGUGUGUAAGCGCAGCGAUGCGUUGAGCUAACCGGUACUAAUGAACCGUGAGGCUUAACCUU
RNAcentral lists this ribosomal RNA (2906 nucleotides) under Escherichia coli. RNAcentral describes it as "23S ribosomal RNA". It matches the Rfam family "Bacterial large subunit ribosomal RNA". Lineage: Bacteria; Pseudomonadati; Pseudomonadota; Gammaproteobacteria; Enterobacterales; Enterobacteriaceae. The record is from RNAcentral.